UCUGACCUGCUCACUGAAUUGAAUUUAAAGAGCCGCGGUAUUAUGACCGUGCAAAGGUAGCAUAAUCAUUAGUCUUUUAAUUGGAGGCUGGAAUGAAUGGUUUGACGAGAAAUUAACUGUCUCUUAGUAAAUUUUAGAAUUUAACUUUUGAGUGAAAAGGCUUAAAUAAUUCUUUAGGACGAGAAGACCCUAUAGAGCUUUACAUUUAUAAUUUAUAUUUUUCUUUAGUUUAUUUUUUAUUGUAAGUUAUAAAUGUUUAGUUGGGGUGAUUUGAAGAAUAAAUAAACUCUUCAUUAUUGAUUCAUUGAUUUAUGUUUGUUUGAUCC
RNAcentral lists this ribosomal RNA (326 nucleotides) under Heteropternis couloniana. RNAcentral's name for it is "partial 16S ribosomal RNA". The stretch from base 1 to 165 matches the Rfam family "Archaeal large subunit ribosomal RNA", at positions 1945 to 2143 of the family's 2987-position model. Lineage: Eukaryota; Metazoa; Arthropoda; Insecta; Orthoptera; Acrididae. The record is from RNAcentral.